CAGGGGGGCAAGCGUUGUUCGGAAUUACUGGGCGUAAAGGGUUUGUAGGUGGCCACUUAAGUCAGACGUGAAAUCCCUCAGCUUAACUGGGGAACUGCGUCUGAUACUGAGUGGCUUGAGUGCAGGAGAGGAACGCGGAAUUCCAGGUGUAGCGGUGAAAUGCGUAGAUAUCUGGAGGAACACCGGUGGCGAAGGCGGCGUUCUGGACUGUAACUGACACUGAAAAACGAAAGCCAGGGGAGCAAACGGGAUUAGAUACCCCGGUAGUCCUGGCCCUAAACGAUGAAUGCUUGGUGUGGCGGGUAUCGAUCCCUGCCGUGCCGUAGUUAACGCGAUAAGCAUUCCGCCUGGGGAGUACGGUCGCAAGGCUG
Molecule: ribosomal RNA, 371 nt
Filed under: uncultured organism
Description: bacterial SSU rRNA
Rfam family: Bacterial small subunit ribosomal RNA
Source: RNAcentral